This 251-nucleotide ribosomal RNA is filed under the name uncultured bacterium. RNAcentral's name for it is "partial 16S ribosomal RNA". It matches the Rfam family "Bacterial small subunit ribosomal RNA", at positions 524 to 776 of the family's 1533-position model. The record is from RNAcentral.
UACAGAGGUCUCAAGCGUUGUUCGGAUUCAUUGGGCGUAAAGGGUGCGUAGGCGGCGCGGUAAGUCGGGUGUGAAAUCUCGGAGCUUAACUCCGAACUGCAUUCGAUACUGCCGUGCUUGAGGACUGGAGAGGAGACUGGAAUUACGGUGUAGCGGUGAAAUGCGUAGAUAUCGUAAGGAAGACCAGUGGCGAAGGCGGGUCUCUGGACAGUUCCUGACGCUGAGGCACGAAGGUCAGGGGAGCAAACGGG